This 253-nucleotide ribosomal RNA is filed under the name uncultured bacterium. RNAcentral describes it as "partial 16S ribosomal RNA". It matches the Rfam family "Bacterial small subunit ribosomal RNA", at positions 524 to 776 of the family's 1533-position model. The record is from RNAcentral.
UACAGAGGGGGCUAGCGUUGUUCGGAAUUACUGGGCGUAAAGCGCACGUAGGCGGACUGAUAAGUCAGGGGUGAAAUCCCGGGGCUCAACCCCGGAACUGCCUUUGAUACUGUCAGUCUGGAGUUCGAGAGAGGUGAGUGGAAUUCCGAGUGUAGAGGUGAAAUUCGUAGAUAUUCGGAGGAACACCAGUGGCGAAGGCGGCUCACUGGCUCGAUACUGACGCUGAGGUGCGAAAGCGUGGGGAGCAAACAGG